UGUGUAGGCGGAAAAGUAAGCGUUUUGUGAAAUCCCCCGGCUUAACCGGGGAAUUGCUUAGCGAACUACUUUUCUUGAGGCAAGUAGGGGUGCAUGGAACUCUUGGUGGAGCGGUGGAAUGCGUAGAUAUUAAGAGGAACGCCAGUGGUGAAAACGGUGCACUGGGCUUGGCCUGACGCUGAGACACGAAAGCGUGGGUAGCGAACAGGAUUAGAUACCCUGGUAGUCC
Molecule: ribosomal RNA, 229 nt
Filed under: uncultured bacterium
Lineage: Bacteria
Description: partial 16S ribosomal RNA
Rfam family: Bacterial small subunit ribosomal RNA
Source: RNAcentral